RNAcentral lists this ribosomal RNA (1194 nucleotides) under Triticum aestivum (bread wheat). RNAcentral describes it as "partial small subunit ribosomal RNA". Lineage: Eukaryota; Viridiplantae; Streptophyta; Magnoliopsida; Poales; Poaceae. The record is from RNAcentral.
AUGGCGAUGCCGCAGAAGAGGCGCCGCCGCCGGAGGAGGCCUCUUCAAGAAGGAGGAGCGCCCCGCCGGCGCCUUGGUGAAGAUGGCGCAUCGGUGUCUGGAUCCCUUGUCGAUUCGGAUAGCAACAGCCGUGUGGAUGGAGGCUCUCCGCCGCCCGGAUUCCCCGACGAGCUUGUUAUGUCCUCAACAGUGUCAAGGUACCAUGAAAUUAUUGCCUCGCGCCUCGCCCAGUUGCAGUUACCAGUCGGCGACGACGGCUCGGACUUGGCCGGUUUUUCAGAUCUCCCUUCCCGUGAAAUCCUCGAAGUCCUUACUCGUAAAUCUUUCCCCGAUGACUAUUCGCGAGCUGCUCUGCUAGAAUACCAAUGCCAGAAGAUCUUGAACGAGACCCAGGGACGAGAUAGAGAUUCUGUAAAAUCUGAUUCGGCCGUUGUUGAUACUGAACCCGGCGAUGUUAUCACGGAGGUGGAACACAUGAGAGACUGUGAAUUGCUAGGGGCUGACAAGGAUGAGAUUGACACUUAUACCAAACUGGACCAAGAGCAGGCCAACAAGCUCCAUCUCAAGUAUGCACUCUAUCGCAUCAAAGCUUGCCUGCUGUUGAAAGGGAAGCCGGUUGACGAGCUGGAUGAUGUUGCAUUGGAACGCAAGUACCCUCCAGAGCUUAUCGUGAAGAACAACUACUUUUUUCACUAUGAGGAUGACUUCUUUGGUUGGUAUUUUGAUUCCGAACUCUGUUACAAAGCGUCCUUGAGCGACUACCAGCGGCUAGUCCUUUUAAAUGAUGGUGAUGAGUAUUCGAGUUGGAGAAGAUACCAAACAUUUUAUAGCACCCCUGAAGCUGAUAGAGAUUAUCUCAACUACUGGGAAACAAUUGUGAAGGAACUUAAAUGGCUUGAGCAGUAUCUGCUGACAAACGAGUCUUCUAUUGAGUGGGCGCAUAAACAUUCAAAGGCUAUGUUCCAAGCAAUUAGGAUCGCUUCUAAGUUUCCCUGCAUGACUCUGAAACUAGCAGCUGUUGGUUUACAUGAGUAUAUAUGGAAUGCGCGCAUACAUCUCAUGUUUGUGAAAGAUCUUGAUGGUAUCUUGUGUCAGAUUUGGAGGCGGCUCAAUGCGGGCAUCAGCUGCGUUUCAGAGAUGCUCUCAAGCAAGUUUAUGAGGCUAACUUGUUUCCAGCACACGACCGCAGUAUGA